Molecule: ribosomal RNA, 262 nt
Filed under: uncultured archaeon
Lineage: Archaea
Description: partial 16S ribosomal RNA
Rfam family: Archaeal small subunit ribosomal RNA
Source: RNAcentral
CAGCCGUAAACUAUGCUCGCUAGGUGUCAGGCAUGGCGCGACCGUGUCUGGUGCCGCAGGGAAGCCGUGAAGCGAGCCACCUGGGAAGUACGGCCGCAAGGCUGAAACUUAAAGGAAUUGGCGGGGGAGCACAACAACGGGUUGGAGCCUGCGGUUUAAUUGGACUCAACGCCGGACAACUCACCGGGGACGACAGCAAUAUGUAGGCCAGGCUGAAGACCUUGCCUGAAUCGCUGAGAGGAGGUGCAUGGCGUAGACGUCU